This is a long non-coding RNA of Cephus cinctus (wheat stem sawfly), 1567 nucleotides long. RefSeq lists it as uncharacterized. The transcript is spliced from 3 exons. Lineage: Eukaryota; Metazoa; Arthropoda; Insecta; Hymenoptera; Cephidae. The record is from RefSeq and is a predicted model, not a curated record.
AUCUCACUUAACCCCUGGAUACUAUACCCUUUACUCUAUAGGCAUACAAUUAAUCAUCGACACUCUUUAUUAUUCUCCAAUCACUAAAUACAUGUCGCCUUAUCAACACGGUCAUUCAUAUUAGCCAUACGUCACUUUUGUAUUUUGUUUACCAACAACUUUCCACGCGUUUACCUCGUUCUGGCAUAUCCCAGUGAUAUCCUCCCAUUGGUAUUGUAUAUUUUGACGUAUAGACGGUCCACGUGUUCGACGUGUUUUCUUUUUUGACAGUUCCAAAACAAUCGUCUCUAGCACGUGUCACUGCAUACAAUAUAUUUCACGAAACACACAUAUAUGUAUGAUUUUUGAGUAAACAUAUGUUACAUCUCUAAUUUAUCACGUACAUUAUUUUAUAUAAAAAAAUCGUGCGCAAUUUGCUAAGGAUUUGAAUGCUUGCCAACUGUCCAAAAAAUAUACUCAAUUCCUUAAUCGACUGUACGAACCUGUUUUUUUUUUAUUGUCUAUGAUGAAUCCUAAUCUGCAUAAUUUUUACGUCAUCAUUGAAUGCUGGGGAAUUGCGGUAGAUGGUCAUACUAUACCUAUAUCUGAAUGGAGUUUGUACAGAGUAUACAUAUGUGUAAACACAAGUACACAGGCUAUUAUGUCAGACCUGCAUUCCACUGUACGAAACGUGAUGUCGCGUGUCUUGCCAACAUUCCAGGACCCUUUAGCUAACAGGAGUAAAAGUCCGUAUGGUAUUUUACGCGAAUCCAAGACGGUUCGUAACAUAUGUCGGUAUGACAGAUUGACAUAAUGAACUGUCAUGAAUUAUUUAGCCACGUGCCACUAAUUGGGAAGUUCAUAUUUUUACAUUUCCAAGCACACGAAAUCAGUACUGCGUAUCGGUGCGUCGCCGUUUCCUUUUUCGUCGUUUGUCUCGUCCGUACAUAUUUUUUUGAGCCCUCGUUAACUCGCCGAAAUAUAAUAUGGUGUCGCAACGCGCAAAAUCUCUUAAGUGAUUCCAUAAACGUCAGAGCGCGUACAGCUAACGCGCAAAGUCUUACGCAACAUUCGCAAUGUGGAACGCGACUGGUAACCUUAAGAUUCCGCGAGUGCAUCCGCGCCGAUUUACAUUCUUUCCCAACGCGUGCUGAUGCAAAGCGUGCAAUUUGCCAGGCGUUACGGAAUUCAUGGUAAUUUAGGUAAAACCGUGUGUCAGCCAGUAGAUAAAACCAACCGGAUCUAAGGACAGCCGGAAAAUCCUCAAGCAACUCAGCGACACUUCCGACUAUCGUUUCUACAGUGGCGAAGCAGCCAGUCUCGUCCCUUGUCCGCCACGUGACUCUAGUGUCAAUGGGCGAACCCAUAUUUCGCUUCCGAGUGGCCGGAAUACUCAAAUGUCUGGUCGACUUAAUCAACGACACGUCCGUCGAAUGCCGAAUUGGACAAGUCGCACCUGCAAGUAAGCGACCAUACGAUUUUACCAUUGCACGUCGGCCAACGUAAAAUCAAAAUAGACGUUAGGACGUUUAUACCUGAUGGCUGCCAAUAUAGAUAUAUACACGGUUACAACAACAGCCAUGACACA